RNAcentral lists this transfer RNA (75 nucleotides) under Chromera velia. Its description in RNAcentral is "tRNA-Met". It matches the Rfam family "tRNA". Rfam says of the family: Transfer RNA (tRNA) molecules are approximately 80 nucleotides in length. Their secondary structure includes four short double-helical elements and three loops (D, anti-codon, and T loops). Lineage: Eukaryota; Chromeraceae. The record is from RNAcentral.
AAUGAAAUAGAGCAGUAUGGCCAGCUCGCCGGGCUCAUGCCCCGGAGGUCACAGGUUCAACUCCUGUUUUCAUUA